UACCAGCACCCCGAGUGGUCGGGACGAUUAUUGGGCCUAAAGCAUCCGUAGCCGGUCAUGCAAGUCCUCCGUUAAAUCCACCUGCUUAACAGAUGGGCUGCGGAGGAUACUACAAGGCUAGGAGGCGGAAGAGGCAAGCGGUACUCAGUGGGUAGGGGUAAAAUCCUCUGAUCCAUUGAAGGCCACCAGUGGCGAAGGCGGCUUGCCAAUACGCGCUCGACGGUGAGGGAUGAAAGCUGGGGGAGCAAACCGG
RNAcentral lists this ribosomal RNA (253 nucleotides) under uncultured bacterium. RNAcentral's name for it is "partial 16S ribosomal RNA". It matches the Rfam family "Archaeal small subunit ribosomal RNA", at positions 474 to 727 of the family's 1478-position model. The record is from RNAcentral.